GUGCCAGCCGCCGCGGUAAUACGGGGGGUGCAAGCGUUGUUCGGAUUUAUUGGGCGUAAAGCGCGUGUAGGCGGUUUGUUAAGUCUGAUGUGAAAGCCCUGGGCUCAACCCAGGAAGUGCAUUGGAAACUGGCAGACUUGAAUACGGGAGAGGGUAGUGGAAUUCCUGGUGUAGGAGUGAAAUCCGUAGAUAUCAGGAGGAACACCGGUGGCGAAGGCGGCUGCCUGGACCGAUAUUGACGCUGAGACGCGAAAGCGUGGGUAGCAAACAGGAUUAGAUACCCUGGUAGUCCACGCCGUAAACGAUGAGUACUAGGUGUUGCGGGUAUUGACCCCUGCAGUGCCGCAGCUAACGCAUUAAGUACUCCGCCUGGGAAGUACGGUCGCAAGACUAAAACUUAAAUGAAUUGACGG
This 413-nucleotide ribosomal RNA is filed under the name uncultured bacterium. RNAcentral describes it as "bacterial SSU rRNA". It matches the Rfam family "Bacterial small subunit ribosomal RNA", at positions 505 to 916 of the family's 1533-position model. The record is from RNAcentral.